Long non-coding RNA from Cavia porcellus (domestic guinea pig), 7973 nucleotides. RefSeq lists it as uncharacterized. The transcript has 5 exons. The record is from RefSeq and is a predicted model, not a curated record. Lineage: Eukaryota; Metazoa; Chordata; Mammalia; Rodentia; Caviidae.
UGGGCUCCAUCUGGUGACCUUGAGCAAGCCGUUCCCUAUGAGGACCUCAUUACUGCAUAGCACGGGAGUCAUAAAAGUUGCCACCUGGAUCAGGAGAAACAAUAAAAACCAAUGUAUACUUGUCCCUAAAGUACCAAAACCCUUUUAGGGAAGAGGAGAGGGUGUUUACGGUUUCUAUAAAAGGAGGACAGUGUAUUAGCCAGCUGAGCAGAGCCUCACAAGACCCUGUCCAGGAUGCUGGAUUACAUUUAGUUAUCACGUUUCCUUUCGGCUGUGACCGUUUCUGAGACCUUUCUUGUUCCCGAGGACUGACCGCUUUGGAGAAUACUGGUCAGGUAUUUGUAGACUACUCCUUAGCUGGGACUGGUCUGACAUUUUGCUCAUGUUUAGAUCAGGAUUAUUAGAUCAGGAUUAUUUGGAGGAGGAAGACGACAGACGCAAAAGGCAUUUUUCUGUCUUUUUGUUUUCUAAAACCCCACGUCAAUUCCUCCUGUCCUCCUACUCCAUCCCUCCAAAAGUUGUUAUAUUUACCGUGCCUUUUAGGAUAAGGAAGGAAGUCAUGAUUCUAGGUAUGUCCAAUGGAUAGUCAUGCUUACCCAACGGGCUAUCACUGGCGGAAUCCUCAUAAAAAGGAAAAUCCCCUGAAAAGCUGACUUGAGACUUGCAGCCUAGAGGUAUUCCAGACUCUGCACAGUGACUUGAGAUGGAAGGAAAACCCAACCAAGGCAGAGGCCUGCAGAAUGGACGACGGAACCAGCUAAGGAGUGCACUGGCAGAAGGUUCUCCGCAGCUGGCCAAGACUGCAGGUGGUGUGCAAGACAUCACAACUGUGCCCUGAGCCCUAUCUGACAAUUUCCAUCAACAGGACCCAGGAGGCUGAAAAAUGCAUUUCACUUUUUUUCUAAGAUGGACACAUUUUUCAAGGUUAUGUGACCAAGAAGGAAGACCCAUGCUACCUAAAAUGCAGUGUUUCAGACUGUAACUGUGCUGUCAUUGACAGGAAAGAGAAAGCUGCAUUACUGUGUUUCUUUCUCACAGUGGUGUUUGGAAAAUACACUCAGAGUGAAGUCUACAAUUAAACUUGGAACUUUACUGUGAUUUCCAGGUUUCCCUUAUUCACAGUUCAUUUGUAAUUGGUGCAAUUCUGUUACAGCACAGUAUUAAAUAGUUGCAUAGGUUGUUAACAAUCAACGUUAAAAGAAAGAAGUGGUAUGUAAGUGAAUUAAUUUUCCUUAUUUCUUUUUUUUUUUUCAGGGUGGGGAGAGGUACUGGGAUUGAACUCAUGACCUCAGGCUUGCCACUAAACUAAACCCUUGGCUCUGUCUUAUUUCUAUUCUGAAAUUUUGACGUGAAGGUUCUUAACCCUGAGGCAUUGUUUUCAGAUUUCUCUUUCAGAGUAAAUGUCCAACAUUUAAGUUUUCAUUUAUCUUUUAAGGGAGAAAAGGAAAAGAAUAUUUGAGUGAAAUAUCUGAAGAGUUGCCAUGUGUGGUGGGCAAGCCUGUAAAGCCAGCUUGUGGGAGGCUGAGGCAGAGGAUCGCCAUGAGCCUGGGCUACAUAAGCAAGUUCAAAAUCUGCCUGCAUUACAUAGUGAGACUCUGUUUUUUAAAAAGAAUUAAACAUUUAAGGAGUUUUUAAAAGAGCUCUCCUGAGCGCUUGUUGCCUAGGCUGAUUUCAAACUGGUGAGCUUGUGUGAUACUCUCUCCUCAGCUUUCCAAGUAGUUGAAACGAUAGAUUUAUGUCACCAUGUCCAGCUUAUCUUCUUGAGUUAUACUAUACAGUAGACCCCAGAAAUCUGUGAGGAUUCCAUUCCAAGAGCAACGGCAAAUUUUGAAAAAUCACCAGUUUCAGAUAUGGUCAGAAAAAUGCCUAUUUUUACAGCUUAAACACUAAAUACGCUAUGCUCCUACAGUUAUGUAAUUUAAUAAACUACUAUACUGAGAAAGCCUUAGAAGGUGCAGGGCAUUUUGGUGGCAUUUUUGGGAUCUAAGGGCUUCAAGGAAAAUAAAGCCAAGAACACUGGAGACAGCUACAGACGGUAUUGCAAGCUCACGCGGGAACUUCAGAGGAUUUGCCAGAGUGAUUUCAGGGCAGCAGCCAAUCAGCAGCAAGGAGAACUAAAAAACACUCUCGGAUUGGCUAUUUACAAGCCUCCCUCCAAAAACAAAACAAAACAAAACAAAACAAAUCCCUCCAGCAAUUGCAGAAGAUAUUUGUGGUUUCCUAGACAGUGUGGGGCUUUCUCGAACCAUUAAUAGUAAGGUUCUAAGGAAAAAUCCGUGAAUGACUGAAGCCUUGGACUCUGAACCACGGGUUUGCGGGCGUUUACUCUACUUGAUUUUGGUUAAAACCUUUUUAAAUCUCAGUUUUUCCAGUUGUAAAGUAAAUCUAUUCAUAGACUUAUUGGUCCCUUUAUUGGCUGAAUAUGUAUUUGUACGGGACUUCACAACUGUUUGGUACUUUGUAUUUAAAUAUCAUUUUGUUUUAUUGUUAAAACAAUGGGGUAAUGCGUGAUGAAUGAUUAAGACUUCGUUACUUUUACAACUAAAUAGUAAUUAUUUCUUGCUCACUGGGCAUGGUGAUGCACAGCUGUCAUUUCAGCUACCCGGGAAGCUGAGGCAAGAGGAGAGGAUCACAAGUUAGAGGCCAGCACCGGCUGUAUAGUGAGACCUUUUAAGAAAAACUUAUUGUUUAUACAGCAGCAGCAAAUGAAGCCCAAUGUCUUGGCACAUGCUAAUUCCAGCACUCAGGAAGCCCAGGCAAGGAGGAUCAUGAAUUUAAGGCCAUCUUGGACCACAGGGAGUCUGUGUCUCAACACCAACAACAAAAGCAGCAAAUGAAGCUACAUACACAAGAAGAAAAGUAUCAAGGUUCCCUCUAAAGCCCUCAAAACAACCAACCUUUCAAAGCAAAUAAAGAACAGCAAGAGGGCCUAUAGAGUCAGCUCCUCUACCUUACUCCUGGCACUGGGUCACUUCCUCAUCCCUGCGUUGCAGCUCUCAAAGCAACAAUGCCAAGAUACUUCACAAUGAAUAAAAGGAAACACUGAUGCUCAGGGACAGAAGGAGAAACACCAAGUGGACCUGUGCCCCUGGAAGAGGAGGGAGGUUCUGUUGACACGUUCUUCAGCUCUGAAAAGAGCAAACUUUUGUGGCAGUAACAUAACCAGGCCUGAUGAGAGCAGCAGAUCAAAGAAACUAAAAACGGAGUGCGUGGUUAAAUUAUUUAUGAUGAUGCUGGCGCUGUAUUGAUCAGAGGUGGUUUUUGCUCUUAACCCUACCUUCCCUACUCCUACAGAAGCUGUCAUCACCUGAAGAAAGGGGCCCAGUGGGAGGGGCAGUGUGAGUGGGCACCGGUCAGGCCCCUCAUUAAAAGAAGACUUCAUCCAAUAUAAGUCUACUAUAUCUAAUGACAAGCUGAUGAUGCCUUUGCAUAUCAUAUUUCCUAGGAAAGAAAUAGCAUAUCAUUUCACCCUGAACCCCAGGGAAGGAAAGGUUCUGCCCGACCUGCCAAGAUCAUAUUACCACCGCAACAGAAAACUCAGUACGAAAUUGGAGUUUCAAAAUACAGGACCUAUUAAAAAGACGUAUUUUUGGAAUCUGAUUUACAUUAUUGAUUGCUGAAUCACCACUGCCAGGCACACAGUAGAUAAUCAGACAUAUGUAAUGGGCUAUUUUAAUGGCAUCUUGCUGUUCAGACACUGAAGGCCACGUGCUCCGUGGCGAGUCUUAGGCGGUCACUGGCCUCCUAGAUAGCCUGGGCUAGCUGUCCUGGGCAACAUCUUGCUUGCCAGACCAAAGGCUGGGAUGAAUGUAGGAUAUGUGCACACAGUUCAGACUCUGCCACUGGGGAAACCGUAAGACAGGGAUUGCUGUUUUGUCCAUACGUAAACAAUCUCAAGGCAUUAACUGUCCUAUUUGGACCCAAGAAUGUGUGUGAUAGACUUGUGAAGAAAAGAAACUUUUAAAAGGUAUAGUAUCCUUUUCAGCUCAAGGAAAAAAAAGACUCAGAAAGAAAACUUGGUUCAAAAAAGAAAGAAAACUUGGUUCUUAAUACUACUGAGGUAACCACUGUGGAGCAGCCAGAGUACUGUUCUGAUGUAGAGGAGAAACAGUCCUGGGAGCUGAAGAAAUUGGCUCAUUUCAAAAGGAAAUUCAAGAAUUUUCAUAAGUAAUUGUUUGAAAACUACCUAGGAAAAUGGUAUUAUGAUGUAUGUCCAUUACAGUCAACUUUGGCUAAUUACUGCCUUUUUCCUAGAAGUAAGUAUUUUAGGAAACUAAAAUACUAAAAUGUUAUAGAAAGACAAUAAAAAGUUAGGUAUGCCUGUUUUUCUGAUGGCAUUUAUCAAGGAGUAUUAAAAAUAAUCAGAUUUCAGCAAAAGCCUAAGAUGUUAUCAUUUUGGAUCUUGGAUCACGACGAAGAGGAGAGCCCAUGCCAAGGCCUCUGUCUUUCUAAAUUUCUACGAAUGACAGAUGUUCUUAUUUUUAAAUCCAUAGCAGUACUAGAAACACAGAAAUCAAGACACUGAUUGGGCCAUUAAUUUUUGUAAGGAGUCUCUUAAAUAUUCAAGGCAGAUGGAAUACAACUAACAGAGAAAAGCCACCACCUAAAACUGAAUGAUUCCCAAUGUGUUAUUAACUCAGAAAGAGCAGAUACAAGGGACAGGAAGAGCCCAGGCUGCAGAAAAAGUAACCUGUGUAUCUUAAAGAAAAACGCUGAGAAACAAUGUAUAAGAUGGCAAAAUGUAUCAAUAGAAUUAUUUAUCAUAACCAAGUAGGAUGUAUACCUUGAGGCAUUUCCAAUUGGAAAAAGGCCAAUGUGAUUUGUUCAAUUUCUAGAUUGAAAAAAUGGAAACCCAUCAUAUAAAUAGACAUUCCAAAAUGACAUUUGAUAAAAUUCAACAUAUAAAUCUAACAAAAAGAUUUCUUUCUAUAUUAUGCUUAAGAAAAACUUUCUAGGGGGCAAGGGAUUUAGCUCAGGGACACAGUGCCUGCCUAGCAAGUGGGAGAUCCUGAAUUCGAUUUCUGACACCAAAAAGAGGAAAAAAAGAAAGAAAAAAGGAAAAUCUUCUGAACUCUGGUAAGUAUUAACCAAAAAUAAUCCUCAGCUACAGAUGAAUUAUUAUCAGGUUUCCCUUAAAGUCAGAAAUACGACGAAAAUGGCUGCUAUCACUUCUGUCACCAAACAUUAUAUUGGGAGUUAUAGCACAUUAAGCCAAGAAGAAUGACCUCCACAUAUUUGAUGGCCUUGGUAAAUCAGAUGAAAAUUGGCCCACAUAUAAUUUUCCAAUAAUAAAUGAUAACAUUUAAAUUUUUUCUGGGAAAUCAACUAACAAACUAUUAGAAACAAUAAGAUGAUCAGAAAUAAAAGAAAAUCCACAGCCUUCUAAUCACUAACAAUAUUCAUGUAAAGACUAUGUACUGAAGAAAAAAAUUCCAAAAAGUUCAUAAGAAUCACACUUAACGACUAUCCCUGAAGAAUACAGAUAACCUGAAUAAAAAUACAUGUUAUGUUAUGGGAUGAAAAAAUAGCACAUUGUAAACAUUUCUUUUUCUCUGAUAAGCUAAUCUGCAAAUCCAACAAAAGUCACUUUAAAAAUGUCAAGGUCAGUGCCAGGCAUGGUAGCACAUGCCUGUAAUUCCAGAACUUGGAAGGCUAAGGUAGGAUUGUGGUUAGUUUCAGGCCAGCCUGAACUACAUAGUGAGUUCAAAGAUAGUCUUAACUACAUAGCAAGACCUUGUGUCCAAAAACAAGCAAACAAAAGUCAAGGUUGUCUAGGAAAUUUUCAAGUUAAUUCUACAAUUCAUUCAGAAAUUGUGAUUGCUUACCUUGAUCUGUUUUGCAUACUUGUACCUUGUAAUCCAUGCAACUAUUCUGAAGAUAACAAUAUUCAAUAUAAUGACUAUUAUUAAUUUUCUAUUAGCUUAUCCCUAGUACUGACAAAAAAAACCCUAAAAUUUUCUAUUAGCUUGUUUUGAAAUCCUGUAUCAUUUCUACUGUCUUGCUUUGUUUUUGUUUUUCUUUUAAUCUCCUUAAAAUGAAAAAUUAAUUAAAAAAUACCUGAGAGAAUUUCUAAAACAAGAGAAAUGCUCUAACAUAUACAAAAUGAUGUCAAACAACUAGAACAAUCCAUACAGAAACCAACAAAUAGAUUGACAAAAUACAAUAGAAAAAUCUAGAGUAAGGACCAUUAGAUUUUACUGAUAUUUAUUUAUUAAAUAUAAAUAUAAGCCAGGGAUUUAGCUCAGCAGCAUAAGCGCCUGCCUUGCAAGCGCAUGGUCAUGAGUUCGAUCCCUGGCAUGAAAGUAUCUGUUGAUAGAUAGAUAGAUAGAUAGAUAGAUAGAUAGAUAGAUAGAUAGAGAGAGAGAGAUGGAGGUGAUGUUUCACAUCAGGGCUGAAAGGGUGGACCACAAAGAGUGAUAAGAAAAAAUCUCUGUACAUCAAAACAUCAAUGUUUUUUUUAAAAAUGUGAAUGUCUUAGUUACUUUCUCAUUGCUCUGACAAAAUAUCUGACACUCGAAAUUGAAGGAGGCCAGGUUUGUUUGGCUCAAGGUUCAGUCAGCUGGCUGCAAGGCAGACAUGGCCUGGAAGAAGGGUAUAGUGGAAGAAAACUUGCUCACACUACAGCAACCAGGAGCACUGGACAAGAAUACACCACUCCCGGCCAUGGUCCUUCGUGAGCCACCUCCAACCAGGCCCCGCCUGCUAACAGCUACUCAUAAAGUGAUCACCUUCCAAAAGCCUCACCUCUGAACCCCUGAUCUAACCCACAACAGAAAAAGACUGGGAGAAAAUGUUUGCAACAUAUAUGACACAGGACACAGGUAAGAAGAAAAAACAGCCUGUAAAUCAAGAAAAACAUACACAAGUAGAAAAAUGGGCAAAGGAUAUAAACAAUUUAUAAGUAAGACAAAAUAAACACCAAUAAAAAUGUAUAAAUUUUUUUUUGUCUUUUUCCUUUUUAUCGGUACCGGGGAUCAAACUCACGACUGCCUGCUUUAAAGGCAGGCGCUUAUGCCGCUGAGCUAAAUCCCCAGCCCCAACACCAAUAAAAAUGAACACCGACAGUAGCAAUAAGGAAAAACUAAAGAAACCUCAUCAUUUGUCAGAAUAUUGAAACUUGAUAUUACAUGUUCUUUUGCAAGAGUGUAGGAAAUAUGUAUGUUCAAGAACUUUUGGUUCUGGAGAUUGAAGCCGCUAUUUUGAAGGGCAAGUUGGCAGCACUGAUUGCAGUGUUGGAAGAUCCAGUAAUUCUACUUUUCAGUAGCUAUUCAGAGACACACCCUCCAAAGAGACCUGUGUCAGUAUGUUAACUGUAGCAGUGUUUAUAAUGGUAAAAAUGGAAAUGUUUUCAACACUCAGCUAUGUUGUGACAUAUGUCAGAACUUCAUUAUAUUUUAUGGGUAAAUAAGAGUCCACUAUAGGUGUCUACCUACUACAUUUUGUUUAUCCAUUCAUCUGUUAACAGGCUCUGGUAUUUCCAGUUUUUGGUUACUGUACCAUGAAACUGUAAUAUAUACCAGUAUAAAAGUAACUGUUUAGUCUCUUGUUUUUUUAGUUUUGGCUGUAUACCUAGGAGCAGAAUUGCUAAGCAAUAUACUAAUUCUAUUAUGCUUAACUUUUUUGAGAAAAUACUGUUUCCUAUAGUGGCUGUGAAUGUGGGUUCCAGCCUCCCUCAUGGUCACCAGUGCUUGCCCUUCACCUCAUUUUUGAUUAGAGCCUCUUAGUAGUUAAAAAGCUGUAUGUCAAGUAGUUUUGAUUUACAUUUUCCUAAUAACUAAUGAUGCUGAACACCUUCUCAGGUGCUUACCUGGGUGCCCAUUUUUGUAGUAAGUGUUUGUUGGAGCAUGGCCGCACUGAGUUCCUUACCUAUUUUCAGUGGCCUUUUAUUCUAUAACCGCAGAGUUGAGCAGCGACACCAGCCUAGCAUAUCUCAAGUUUAAAAAUUUUGUCCAAAUCCUAUGCUAGACCAUAAA